UUUGGGCGUGUCUCCCUUCUCGGGAGACUCUCUCAACCCCCACGAACCCUUGACCUCAAAUCGGGUGAGACUACCCGCUGAACUUAAGCAUAUCAAUAAGCGGAGGAAAAGAGAACUAACAAGGAUUCCCCUAGUAACUGCGAGUGAAUGCGGGAAAAGCUCAAAUUUAAAAUCUGGCGGUCUGUGGCCGUCCGAGUUGUAAUUNAGAGAAGCNGCUUCC
This 220-nucleotide ribosomal RNA is filed under the name Lactarius deliciosus. RNAcentral's name for it is "partial 28S ribosomal RNA". The stretch from base 51 to 220 matches the Rfam family "Eukaryotic large subunit ribosomal RNA", at positions 1 to 166 of the family's 3401-position model. The record is from RNAcentral. Lineage: Eukaryota; Fungi; Basidiomycota; Agaricomycetes; Russulales; Russulaceae.